GACGAGCCUCACAAACGUUAUUCGGAAUUACUGGGCUUAAAGGGUGCGUAGGCGGCGCGGACAGCUGGGUGUGAAAUCCCUCGGCUCAACCGAGGAACUGCGCCCAAAACUACCGUGCUCGAGGAAGAUAGAGGUGAGCGGAACUUACGGUGGAGCGGUGAAAUGCGUUGAUAUCGUAAGGAACACCCGUGGCGAAAGCGGCUCACUGGGUCUUUUCUGACGCUGAGGCACGAAAGCGUGGGGAGCAAACAGG
This 253-nucleotide ribosomal RNA is filed under the name uncultured bacterium. Its description in RNAcentral is "partial 16S ribosomal RNA". It matches the Rfam family "Bacterial small subunit ribosomal RNA", at positions 524 to 776 of the family's 1533-position model. The record is from RNAcentral.